GAUGAACGCUGGCGGCGUGCCUAAUACAUGCAAGUCGAGCGAACAGAUGAGGAGCUUGCUCCUCUGACGUUAGCGGCGGACGGGUGAGUAACACGUGGAUAACCUACCUAUAAGACUGGGAUAACUUCGGGAAACCGGAGCUAAUACCUGAUAAUAUAUUGAACCGCAUGGUUCAAUAGUGAAAGACGGUUUUGCUGUCACUUAUAGAUGGAUCCGCGCCGCAUUAGCUAGUUGGUAAGGUAACGGCUUACCAAGGCAACGAUGCGUAGCCGACCUGAGAGGGUGAUCGGCCACACUGGAACUGAGACACGGUCCAGACUCCUACGGGAGGCAGCAGUAGGGAAUCUUCCGCAAUGGGCGCAAGCCUGACGGAGCAACGCCGCGUGAGUGAUGAAGGUCUUCGGAUCGUAAAACUCUGUUAUUAGGGAAGAACAAAUGUGUAAGUAACUAUGCACGUCUUGACGGUACCUAAUCAGAAAGCCACGGCUAACUACGUG
This 497-nucleotide ribosomal RNA is filed under the name uncultured bacterium. RNAcentral's name for it is "partial 16S ribosomal RNA". It matches the Rfam family "Bacterial small subunit ribosomal RNA", at positions 28 to 507 of the family's 1533-position model. The record is from RNAcentral.